This 371-nucleotide ribosomal RNA is filed under the name uncultured organism. Its description in RNAcentral is "bacterial SSU rRNA". It matches the Rfam family "Bacterial small subunit ribosomal RNA", at positions 526 to 897 of the family's 1533-position model. The record is from RNAcentral.
CGUAGGGUGCGAGCGUUAAUCGGAAUUACUGGGCGUAAAGCGUGCGCAGGCGGUUUUGUAAGACAGAUGUGAAAUCCCCGGGCUCAACCUGGGACCUGCAUUUGUGACUGCAAGGCUAGAGUACGGUAGAGGGGGAUGGAAUUCCGCGUGUAGCAGUGAAAUGCGUAGAUAUGCGGAGGAACACCGAUGGCGAAGGCAAUCCCCUGGACCUGUACUGACGCUCAUGCACGAAAGCGUGGGGAGCAAACAGGAUUAGAUACCCUGGUAGUCCACGCCCUAAACGAUGUCUACUAGUUGUCGGAUCUUAAUUGGUUUGGUAACGCAGCUAACGCGUGAAGUAGAUCGCCUGGGGAGUACGGUCGCAAGAUUAA